Molecule: long non-coding RNA, 1708 nt
Organism: Etheostoma cragini (Arkansas darter)
Lineage: Eukaryota; Metazoa; Chordata; Actinopteri; Perciformes; Percidae
Exons: 2
Source: RefSeq, a predicted model, not a curated record
ACCUUCAAGACUGACAUUAAUAAUCUCACUCAUUAUGGCAUGAUUAAAAAAAAAAAAAAGAUAUUAUUCAUGUCAGCAUAAUAUAAUGUAACACGCAACAUUAUAUAUUCUGCUGGAUUGCACGGCCCCGGAGGUCACCUGCAAAAUGUCACGGAAAGAAACACAAAACGACUACAUGUGUAAGAGAACCACAAAGAGACACAACUAGUUAACCUUUCUGGGUGUCCUGCUCCCACACAGUAAGGGCCCUUACACAUGUCAGGGCCCGCCUUUUGUCUCGUAAUCCAUCCAUGUGUCUUUUGUUUUUUUCUCUUUCUGAUACUGAUUGUAAUGAAAUGCAGACUUGUCACACAUCAACAGCAAGUCAAGAGUUUCACCCUCACAUACAAAACCCAGGUGUGUCUCACAUCAGGGUUUCAAUUCAUGUUUGAUGAACAGGUUAAGACCCUCAACUCUCCACACACACUCUUCACAUUGCCUGCAGACCUGUUUGCACUGAUGAGAAUGUGAUUUUUUGAUAGUUUUAACAUAAUGGAGAAAUUGCAACAAAUCUAUUGCCCCUGCUGUAUUUAAUCCUCAAAAAAAAUCUUAAUUUUGAAUGUUACCAUUUUCUCUUCCGUGUUUCCUGCAGUGUAAAAAUUAUGUUUUCAUCAGUGCAUGUAGGAGCCAUGAUGUAUUUCACGAAACCAACUCUAUGCACUGUUUGCACCUCGACGUUACCAGUACAUGUCUAAUAGUCAGAUGUAUCUCAAAAUGAUGACUAUGCCUUCUUAGUUUCUUAAGGUAUUCCAAAUAAUCGGAAGUUAUAAUAACCUAUGGGGACUACACAUCGUGGACCAACUUAACGUUUCAUUAGUGUGUGUUUUUUGUGCCUCUUUUUCUUCAUUUGUUUGUUUUUUCUGUUUUGUUUUUUUUAUUUAUGAUUAUUUAUGUUUGAGGUUUUAUGAAAUAUUUCAAAUUUUCUUUGCUUAUGUAGCCAAUCCAAACAGCUCUUAAUGUCUUUCUUUCACUUAAACAUGAAUCACUUAAACUGUUUUAUAGAGGAGCACAGCGUCUAAGCGGGGCUUGAAGUGAACCUCAUGGACCAUCGUAAUGCUUGUACUGUGUUUUACUCGGCCGUUACUUCAGUCAGAUUUACCUAGCCAGUGCAGUGUGUAGGUAAACUUGUCAAUAAUUAAAUAUCUAUCACAUAAACACUACUUGAGUUGAACUUCACACUUGUCAAAUGCUACAGUAAUAAAUUAAACUAAACAGGAACAAACUAUUGUUGAGAAGUGUUAUUUGACUGUAAAGUAAUGCCGGCUGGUAAACACGGUGAGGUCCCACUCACCGGUGCCGAUUCAGACUCUACCAGUCACGAGACCUGAGCUCUGUCAUCAAACUAGAUCUAUGUUGCCUUCCGUGUUGGUUGUGUGUGUAAACAUGUCUUCUGUUGAGUUUGACCCUCUUUCCUGGACUGUAUCACGGGGUUGUCAAUGUUCUGUGUGUGUACACGUGCUGCACAAGGUUAUUCACAAGCAGAAUGGCAUAUUUUGUGCAAUUGAUUUAUUUUUAUAGUAUUUAAACUGUUUUUUGGUGAGAACAUCGUACCAGAUGUCUUAUUUGGAGGUGGGAGGGGGACUGUAAGGGUUCAUAUCCAAUCUGUGGACAGCUUGGUAGAUCAAUGAAUGGGGCAAAUGUCUACUAAUAAAAUCCUAAUUUCAGUUUA